UGUCCACAUCCGUGUAUGGUAAAACUCCACCCAUGGUACAUUUGCAUAGCAGUGAAAAAAACUGGUAUUUCCUAUCUGUGAGUGAGUCAC
This 90-nucleotide small RNA is filed under the name Mus caroli (Ryukyu mouse). Its description in RNAcentral is "sRNA (MGP_CAROLIEiJ_G0008662.1)". Lineage: Eukaryota; Metazoa; Chordata; Mammalia; Rodentia; Muridae. The record is from RNAcentral.